This 455-nucleotide long non-coding RNA is filed under the name Dromaius novaehollandiae (emu). RNAcentral describes it as "lncRNA (ENSDNVG00000006973.1)". Lineage: Eukaryota; Metazoa; Chordata; Aves; Casuariiformes; Dromaiidae. The record is from RNAcentral.
UGGUUUUCAUAGAGCUAUACAUUUAAUUUGAUUUUAUUAACUCUGUAUUUCAUGAUAACUUUUAAUGUGGAUUAAAUCUCCUGGUUAAUGUCUAUAAACAGACAACAUCUAAGGAAGUAAACCAGCGCCAUUAACAACUGAACGCACUUGCUCUGGUAUGACACUGAAGCCUCCUAACUGAGUGACUUUGUAGCUCCUUGCCCAUCAGCUCCAGCGGAGAGAAGAAAGCCAAAACCUCUGGCAGAAGAGGCUGAUAGUAUCAGCACAGCAGCAGCACAUAGAAGCUUCUGGGCACUCAUGCAGUAUUUUUCACUCAUAUUUGUUUCCUGACACAAACAUCUCUUUUAACGAGGAGUAUGGGAUAGCGUCGCUUGGCGUUCUGAGCUGUGGGCAGUCUCAAACUGAAGACAGACAGUGUAAUCUCAGCUGCCCUGAGAUAAAUGACGAAGCCACUC